CUAAUCUUAGCUCUUACGCUUUCCAGAUGAGCUCCUCAGAGACAGCAUUGCAGGGUCACCAGAAGACCACCAGCCUUAACAACUGUAUUCCCUCUCAGAGAGCCUGCUUUGGGGGCAGACCUAGGCAUGUUUGCAGUUAAAACCAGAAAUGAACAGAUUUACUUCAUCAUCUAUAGUAAUGGGGCCAGUUUUGUGCAAAGAAGUAGACAUGGAG
This 214-nucleotide long non-coding RNA is filed under the name Athene cunicularia (burrowing owl). RNAcentral describes it as "lncRNA (ENSACUG00000003688.1)". Lineage: Eukaryota; Metazoa; Chordata; Aves; Strigiformes; Strigidae. The record is from RNAcentral.